GGUUUAUCAUUGGAGCUUGCUUUAAUAGUAACCACACUUACCACAGAAUCCACCAGAUUAUUUGAGCGUAAAAAACUAGAAUCCUCUUCAGCAACCAAGGGACUAGAAGGGAGCAGUUUACUCAGCUACAUCACCUCCUUCAUGAGAGAUACUGCUAAUGGAAUUCCUAGAUCCGCGAUCCUAUAGCUCUUCUAAAUACUUAAGGCUUGCUAGUAGAACACUGACACAAAAUCUAAUCAGAGCACCGCAACCACCACACAUGCCUAUGCUGUGCAUUAGUGUUAAGAAGACCAGUCCCUUUUCAUGAACGUGCAUAAAAUAGAUCUACGGAACAAGGUGCCAUCUAAGAAUUCUUUAAACGUUGAGAUUGUUUCACUUGUAUAACAGAAACAGUCCUUCCCCAAUAUCAUUCGUUGAACCCUGUAAUUAUCUAAGCUAACAAGAGCCUGCACUCCAAAAUCAGCCAUUGUAACUGGAGUCUGGUCAUUCUUUUCAAGUAUCCGUCCUUCGCUAGAGAAGAGAGACCUUUUCACGUCAACACAAAGUCUACAAGCCUUUUCUACGACAUCCACUGCAGCUUCAAGCUCUCUGUGGUACUUGGCCUUGUGAUUUGGAAAUGGAAGGCUCGACAGGGAAGAAUCGUCUACGACGAGGCGAAAGGGAAGAAGGAUGACGGAGAAAGUAUCGGACGGAAUGGUAGAGAAUCGUCUACUGAUGAGUGACUGAGUGUUGCUCAGCCGAGGAAGAUACGGCUG
This 755-nucleotide unclassified non-coding RNA is filed under the name Hevea brasiliensis (rubber tree). Lineage: Eukaryota; Viridiplantae; Streptophyta; Magnoliopsida; Malpighiales; Euphorbiaceae. The record is from RNAcentral.